Molecule: ribosomal RNA, 468 nt
Filed under: uncultured bacterium
Lineage: Bacteria
Description: partial 16S ribosomal RNA
Rfam family: Bacterial small subunit ribosomal RNA
Source: RNAcentral
GACGAACGCUGGCGGCGUGCUUAACACAUGCAAGUCGAACGGAAAGGCCCUGCUUUUGUGGGGUGCUCGAGUGGCGAACGGGUGAGUAACACGUGAGUAACCUGCCCUUGACUUUGGGAUAACUUCAGGAAACUGGGGCUAAUACCGGAUAGGAGCUCCUGCUGCAUGGUGGGGGUUGGAAAGUUUCGGCGGUUGGGGAUGGACUCGCGGCUUAUCAGCUUGUUGGUGGGGUAGUGGCUUACCAAGGCUUUGACGGGUAGCCGGCCUGAGAGGGUGACCGGGCCAAUUGGGAACGAGAAUACGGCCAGAACCCCUCGGGGGGGAGGAGGGGGGGAAAUUGGAAAAAGGGGGGAAAGCCGAUGGCGGAACGCCCGGGGGGGGAAGGAGGGCCUUGGGGUGGAAACCCCUUUCCCCCUGGGAGGAGGGGGGGGGAACGGAAAUGGGAAAAAAAGAACCGGCUAACAACGG